Molecule: ribosomal RNA, 180 nt
Filed under: uncultured Glomeromycotina
Lineage: Eukaryota; Fungi; Glomeromycota
Description: partial small subunit ribosomal RNA
Rfam family: Eukaryotic small subunit ribosomal RNA (bases 38-180)
Source: RNAcentral
GGAUCGAUUUACUGGUCGUGCCUAUGGUACGUACCGGUUUUGUUGGUUCCUCCUUUCCGAGGAGCCACGAUGUCAUUAAUUUGGUGUCGCGGGGAAUCGGAACUGUUACUUUGAAAAAAUUAGAGUGUUUAAAGCAGGCUAACGCUUGAAUACAUUAGCAUGGAAUAAUGAAAUAGGACG